AACGAACGCUGGCGGCAGGCCUAACACAUGCAAGUCGAACGCCCUAGCAAUAGGGAGUGGCAGACGGGUGAGUAACACGUGGGAACCUUCCCUAUAGUACGGAAUAGCCCAGGGAAACUUGGAGUAAUACCGUAUACGCCCGAGAGGGGAAAGAUUUAUCGCUAUAGGAUGGGCCCGCGUCGGACUAGCUAGUUGGUGAGGUAAUGGCUCACCAAGGCAACGAUCCGUAGCUGGUUUGAGAGAAUGACCAGCCACACUGGGACUGAGACACGGCCCAGACUCCUACGGGAGGCAGCAGUGGGGAAUCUUGGACAAUGGGCGCAAGCCUGAUCCAGCCAUGCCGCGUGAGUGAUGAAGGCCUUAGGGUUGUAAAGCUCUUUUGCCGGGGACGAUAAUGACGGUACCCGGAGAAUAAGUCCCGGCUAACUUCGUGCCAGCAGCCGCGGUAA
Molecule: ribosomal RNA, 449 nt
Filed under: uncultured bacterium
Lineage: Bacteria
Description: partial 16S ribosomal RNA
Rfam family: Bacterial small subunit ribosomal RNA
Source: RNAcentral